GUGAAUCAUCAAAUCUUUGAACGCAAAUUGCACUCUCUUCGGAGAGUAUGCCUGUUUGAGGGUCAGCCUAAAAAAAAUCGGCAUAGUUUCUGUUUCGCGGUAACAUUCGGUGGGAAUUGGGUUCUCUUUAGCCUUUGGGUUUAAGCGGCUUAAAAUUUUCUUUUCGAUUCCAAGGACGUUUCUAAGGUUUUAUUUUCUUUUACGUUUAAAGUUACGAUCUUUUUUAGACUU
RNAcentral lists this unclassified non-coding RNA (231 nucleotides) under Glomus sp. Its description in RNAcentral is "partial contains 5.8S ribosomal RNA and internal transcribed spacer 2". The stretch from base 1 to 65 matches the Rfam family "5.8S ribosomal RNA", at positions 84 to 154 of the family's 154-position model. The record is from RNAcentral. Lineage: Eukaryota; Fungi; Glomeromycota; Glomeromycetes; Glomerales; Glomeraceae.